RNAcentral lists this microRNA precursor (91 nucleotides) under Gossypium raimondii (Peruvian cotton). RNAcentral's name for it is "miR8766 stem-loop (gra-MIR8766)". Lineage: Eukaryota; Viridiplantae; Streptophyta; Magnoliopsida; Malvales; Malvaceae. The record is from miRBase by way of RNAcentral.
GUUAUGUUCAUUAUUUUGGAAUUAGAAAAGUCGUAUUCUUAACUUACGAAAUAUGACUUCCUUCUAAAGCCGAGAUAAUCAAAUAUUUACU